UGGCCCAGUUGGUAGAGCAUGGCACUUGCAAUGCCACGGUUGUGGGUUUGAUUCCCAU
This 58-nucleotide transfer RNA is filed under the name Salmo salar (Atlantic salmon). It matches the Rfam family "tRNA", at positions 8 to 63 of the family's 71-position model. From Rfam's summary of the family: Transfer RNA (tRNA) molecules are approximately 80 nucleotides in length. Their secondary structure includes four short double-helical elements and three loops (D, anti-codon, and T loops). Lineage: Eukaryota; Metazoa; Chordata; Actinopteri; Salmoniformes; Salmonidae. The record is from Rfam by way of RNAcentral. RNAcentral also lists the same sequence under 1 other name.